GAUGAACGCUGACAGAAUGCUUAACACAUGCAAGUCAACUUGAAUUUGGGCUUUUAACUUAGGUUUGGGUGGCGGACGGGUGAGUAACGCGUAAAGAACUUGCCUCACAGCUAGGGACAACAUUUGGAAACGAAUGCUAAUACCUAAUAUUAUGAUAAUAGGGCAUCCUAUAAUUAUGAAAGCUAUAAGCGCUGUGAGAGAGCUUUGCGUCCCAUUAGCUAGUUGGAGAGGUAACGGCUCACCAAGGCGAUGAUGGGUAGCCGGCCUGAGAGGGUGAUCGGCCACAAGGGGACUGAGACACGGCCCUUACUCCUACGGGAGGCAGUAGUGGGGAAUAUUGGACAAUGGACCGAGAGUCUGAUCCAGCAAUUCUGUGUGCACGAUGAAGUUUUUCGGAAUGUAAAGUGCUUUCAGUUGGGAAGAAACAAAUGACGGUACCAACAGAAGAAGUGACGGCUAAAUACGUG
RNAcentral lists this ribosomal RNA (467 nucleotides) under uncultured bacterium. RNAcentral describes it as "partial 16S ribosomal RNA". It matches the Rfam family "Bacterial small subunit ribosomal RNA", at positions 28 to 507 of the family's 1533-position model. The record is from RNAcentral.